RNAcentral lists this long non-coding RNA (1383 nucleotides) under Equus asinus (donkey). Its description in RNAcentral is "lncRNA (ENSEASG00005030222.1)". The record is from RNAcentral. Lineage: Eukaryota; Metazoa; Chordata; Mammalia; Perissodactyla; Equidae.
CACAGGAAGAGAUUAAGCUGUAAUUCAGAGGAUAACUAGACUGAAAUUACUCUGGGCGUCUCUGCCUGUGCACUGGAGAAGGACUUUGGGACUGAGGCAAGAAGGCUGCAGUGGAAACAAGGAGGCUUAGAGACAGCUAAAUGGAUGCAGAGUCUGAGGUUGGGAGGAGACGGGAACUAAGGAUGGGGUUCUCUUCCUCUUACCCCCAGCACUGAAGUCUUUGCCUUUGGGCAAGGAGAGAAGUAAGAGUGGGCUUCAGGGAGAAGGGGUGGGGAGAGCUAGGCUGAGGCAGAAUCUGACGGAAGGACGACAGUGAGGAAGGGAAGUAAAGGACGACAAAUGAUUAAAGGCAAGAGAGAAGGGAUUCAUUCAGCUGGAUGAGGCAGGUGUGUGUAAAAGUGAGUGAGGGCCUCAGGCUUCGACCAAGGAACCGACUUUUAGUGUAAUGGUUUCAAGCUGUGCUACUGUAAAUCCCAGAUGAAAAAGAACAAUAGAGUGUUUGUGCCAGGACAGAAAUAUUGGAGAGGGAGCAGCACUCCCUAGUGGCCAGCAUGGUGUUGGCGGAGCCGAUGAGCGAGAGUUGAAGGGAAGAGAAGAUGAAAUCUGAACGCCUACCGUGCGUUAACAGGGCCACCUGCCCGUUUGCAAGUGAAGCAUCUUCAUCCACCGCUUCCUGCAUCUUGGGGAAUGCAAAGUUGAUGUUUUGAAGGAAGAUGGUGUGUUUGUUGCUGCCUUCAACUUCAAUUUUGUAACUGCCCCAUAAUCUUAUGCUCAUAACCUGAAAUUUUAACUCUACAAUGUUAAGAAAUUUCUUUGCCCAGGAAACAACGUGGUCUGACAACAGAGGUUUCUGAUGAGCUGACAGUACAGAGGAGUGGAUUCGUGGCUUCCAUAGAUUCCAUGUUUUCCAUUUCAGCCAUUGGUGAGAGACUUCUGAAGACUGGCGGCUUCUGACAACCUGCUCUUUUCUUGAGACACAAAUGUGAUUUGUGGAGGCCAGAAAUCAGAAAUUAAAGUGUGACCAGGCUCGGUUCCUUCUGGAAGCCCUGAGGGAGAACCUGUUCCAUGCCUCUCUCCCAGCUUCUGGGGACAGUGGGCAAUCCUUGUGUUCUUUGGCUUGCAGACACAUCAUUCCAGUCUCUGCGUUUGUCUUCAAAUGGCAUUCUCCUGUGUGUCUAUGUUUGUAUGUCUCAAAUCUCCCUCUCCUUUCUCCCAUAAGGAUACCAGUCAUUGGAUUUAGGGCCCACCCUAAAUCCAGGAUGAUCUCACCUCAAGAUCCUUAACUUAAUUACAUCUACAAAACCCCUAUUUCCAAGUAAGGUUGAAUUCAUAGAUACUGGGAGUUACAAUUUGGACAUAUGUUUUUGGGGGACACAGUUCAAC